UAGUCCUGGCUCGAUUGAACGCUGGCGGAUGCUUUACACAUUUAAGUCGAACGUAGCACGGACUUCAGUCUGGUGGCGAGUGGCGAACGGGUGAGUAAUGUAUCCGGAACGUGCCUAGUAGCAGGACAACUACGCGAAAGCGUAGCUAACCCUACGCCCUUCGGAAAGCGAAGGAGACCUUCGGGCCUCACUAUUAGAGCGGCCGAUAUCGGAUAGCUGGUUAAUUUGGGAUAACCGUACAGGCGACGAUCCGUAGCUGGUUUGAGGGGGACGACCAGCCUACACUGGGACUGAGACUGACGAACUCCUACAAGGAGCAGCAGUGGGGAAUUUUGGACAAUGGGGAAGCCUGACCAGCCAUCCCGCAUUGCGAUGAGGCCUUCGGGUUGUAAACGCUUUUGGCGGGGAAGAAACGGCAGGAUAUACCGUGCAACUGGCACCUGCAGAAUAAGCACCGGCUAACUACGUGCCAGCGGCCGCGGUAUUACACGUAGGGUGCAAGCGUUAAUCGGAAUUACUGGGCGUAAAGCGUGCCGACGGUUCAGGAAGAAAAGAUGAUGUGAAAUCGAGCUUAACGCGGUGCAUUUUUAACUACCGAGCAGUGUCAGAGGAGGUGGGGCUCCCGCGUGUAGUGAAAUGCGUGAUAUGCGGAAGACACCGAUGGCGAAGGCAGCCUCUGGGAUAACAUGACGCUCAUGCACAGCGUGAGGCAAACAGGAUUUAGAUACCCUGGUGAUCCGCGCCCUAAAACGAUGUCAACUAGCUGUUUGGGGCUUCGGGCCUUGGUAGCGCAAUAACAUGAAGUUGACCGCUGCCUGGGGAAAUACGGUCACCAAGAUAAAACUCAAAAUUGACGGGGAUUACUACAAGCUGGUGGAUGAUGUGGAUUAAUUCGAUGCAACGCGAAAAGACCUUACCUACCGCCGGUAAUAUCUGGAAUCCCGAAAGAAGAGAUUGGGAGUGCUCGCAAGAGAACCGGAACACGGAUGCGCAUGGCUGUCGUCAGCUCAUGUCGUGGAUGUUGGAUUUGAUCCCGCAACGAGCGCAGCGCGUAUUGGUUGCUACAAAGGUACUCUAAUGAGACUGCCGGUGACAAACCGGAGGAAGGUGGGGAUGACGUCAGUCCUCAUGGCCCUUAUGCGUGGUGGAGCUGCCGUCAUACAAUGGUCGGGACAGAGGGUCGCCAACCCGCGAAGGGGUAAUCCCAGAAACCCGAUCGUAGUCCGGAUCGCAGUCUACGCAACUCGACUGCGUGAAGUCAAGAUCCGCCGUCGUCGCGGAUGUAUGUCGCAGUGGGCUGCCGUUCCCGGGUCCUGUACCACACCGCCCGUCACACCAUGGGAUGGUUUCACGAAGCGGAUUAUUUCGCCGUAAGGAAGGCGAUUAUUACUACUGACAGGAUUCUUGACUGGGGUGAAGUCGUAACUCAGGU
RNAcentral lists this ribosomal RNA (1432 nucleotides) under uncultured Bordetella sp. RNAcentral describes it as "partial 16S-23S ribosomal RNA intergenic spacer". It matches the Rfam family "Bacterial small subunit ribosomal RNA". The record is from RNAcentral. Lineage: Bacteria; Pseudomonadati; Pseudomonadota; Betaproteobacteria; Burkholderiales; Alcaligenaceae.